RNAcentral lists this transfer RNA (74 nucleotides) under Candidatus Aminicenantota bacterium. RNAcentral's name for it is "tRNA-Ala". It matches the Rfam family "tRNA". Rfam says of the family: Transfer RNA (tRNA) molecules are approximately 80 nucleotides in length. Their secondary structure includes four short double-helical elements and three loops (D, anti-codon, and T loops). Further hydrogen bonds mediate the characteristic L-shaped molecular structure. tRNAs have two regions of fundamental functional importance: the anti-codon, which is responsible for specific mRNA codon recognition, and the 3' end, to which the tRNAs corresponding amino acid is attached (by aminoacyl-tRNA synthetases). tRNAs cope with the degeneracy of the genetic code in two manners: having more than one tRNA (with a specific anti-codon) for a particular amino acid; and 'wobble' base-pairing, i.e. permitting non-standard base-pairing at the 3rd anti-codon position. Lineage: Bacteria; Candidatus Aminicenantota. The record is from RNAcentral.
GGGGCCAUAGUUCAAUGGGAGAACGCAGCGUUCGCAACGCUGAGAUGGCAGUUCGACUCUGCUUGGCUCCACAA